GUGAAGAUAGGUUCCUAAGCCCGGAGGACACAAGCCAGAUGGGAAGGUGGUGCUACGAGCCUGGCCUCGCUCCUUCAGGACACAGAGGCUGCGACCCAGGAGCCCCUGGCAGAGUUGAGAAAACCAGCAUUGGGGCAGGGGCCUUGAAGAUCAUCUGGUUCCCGUCUCCAAGCCUAUAGCAGCACUGUUCCUGAGGAGAAACUAAGAGCAACACAAACAUCCAGUAACAGGAGAAUUGAGAAAUCAACCACAGCUCCCACAGCAGCAGGGGGGGAAGAACACGCAGGAGCUAUAAUUAGUUGGGAAGAGGAAAGAGGAGCGGAGCGUGUGAAUCAUCAGCCCCGGUGAUAGACGGUUAGAGGCUGAGCAGAAGUUUCGGGAGAAGCUGCUGGAGUGUGGAAGAAAAUUAUUAUGGAUGUUGAGAAUAAAUGCGAUCAUUGUGUGGUGCUGAGAGCAGAGAAUGAAAGGAAAACACCUCCUGAGCUCGCCCACUCUUGUGUCACCG
Long non-coding RNA from Eubalaena glacialis (North Atlantic right whale), 505 nucleotides. RefSeq lists it as uncharacterized. The transcript is spliced from 5 exons. NCBI's taxonomy places the organism in Eukaryota, Metazoa, Chordata, Mammalia, Artiodactyla, Balaenidae. The record is from RefSeq and is a predicted model, not a curated record.